AUACGGAGGGUCCAAGCGUUAUCCGGAAUCAUUGGGUUUAAAGGGUUCGUAGGCGGGUCAAUAAGUCAGAGGUGAAAUCUUGCAGCUUAACUGUAAAAUUGCCUUUGAUACUGUUGACCUUGAAUUACUGUGAAGUGGUUAGAAUAUGUAGUGUAGCGGUGAAAUGCUUAGAGAUUACAUAGAAUACCGAUUGCGAAGGCAGAUCACUAACAGUAUAUUGACGCUGAUGAACGAAAGCGUGGGCAGCGAACGGGAUUAGAUACCCUAGUAGUCC
This 274-nucleotide ribosomal RNA is filed under the name uncultured bacterium. RNAcentral's name for it is "partial 16S ribosomal RNA". It matches the Rfam family "Bacterial small subunit ribosomal RNA", at positions 523 to 796 of the family's 1533-position model. The record is from RNAcentral.